CGGGGGGGCAAGCGUUGUUCGGAAUUACUGGGCGUAAAGGGCUCGUAGGUGGCCAACUAAGUCAGACGUGAAAUCCCUCGGCUUAACCGGGGAACUGCGUCUGAUACUGGAUGGCUUGAGUUUGGGAGAGGGAUGCGGAAUUCCAGGUGUAGCGGUGAAAUGCGUAGAUAUCUGGAGGAACACCGGUGGCGAAGGCGGCAUCCUGGACCAACACUGACACUGAGGAGCGAAAGCCAGGGGAGCAAACGGGAUUAGAUACCCCGGUAGUCCUGGCCCUAAACGAUGAAUGCUUGGUGUGACGGGUAUCGAUCCCUGUCGUGCCGAAGCUAACGCAUUAAGCAUUCCGCCUGGGGAGUACGGUCGCAAGGCUG
Molecule: ribosomal RNA, 371 nt
Filed under: uncultured organism
Description: bacterial SSU rRNA
Rfam family: Bacterial small subunit ribosomal RNA
Source: RNAcentral